CAUAUACUUAUCAGAAAUUCUAUAGUGCUCCCACUCACUUCUUUGGAAAUACAAGUUUCUCAUAAACCUUGUACAAACCCAAAACCUUUGAUCAUCUCAUCAAAGCGUAUAUUCCAACUCCGAGAUGCUUGCACCAGUCCAUAAAAGGAUCGCUGGAGCUUGCAUACUUGUUAGUAUCCUUAGGAUCGACAAAACCUUCUG
RNAcentral lists this long non-coding RNA (201 nucleotides) under Hordeum vulgare. RNAcentral describes it as "long non-coding RNA (HVUL_LNC003492)". Lineage: Eukaryota; Viridiplantae; Streptophyta; Magnoliopsida; Poales; Poaceae. The record is from RNAcentral.